GACGAACGCUGGCGGCGUGCUUAACACAUGCAAGUCGAACGAUGAAGAAGAGAAACGCGAACUUCGGUUCAAAUUUCACUUCGGAUUAGUGGCAGACGGGUGAGUAACGCGUGAGCAACCUACCUCUUACAAAGGGAUAGCCUCGGGAAACCGUGAUUAAUACCAUAUGACACAUUCAUAAGGCAUCUUAAGAAUGUUAAAGCUACGGCGGUAAGAGAUGGGCUCGCGUCCCAUUAGCUAGUUGGUGAGGUAACGGCCCACCAAGGCGACGAUGGGUAACCGGCCUGAGAGGGUGAACGGUCACAUUGGAACUGAGACACGGUCCAAACUCCUACGGGAGGCAGCAGUGGGGAAUAUUGCACAAUGGAGGGAACUCUGAUGCAGCGACGCCGCGUGAGCGAUGAAGGAAUUCGUUUAGUAAAGCUCUGUUCUAUGGGAAGAAAAGGACUGUACCAUAGGAGAAAGCCCCGGCUAAAUACGUG
Molecule: ribosomal RNA, 482 nt
Filed under: uncultured bacterium
Lineage: Bacteria
Description: partial 16S ribosomal RNA
Rfam family: Bacterial small subunit ribosomal RNA
Source: RNAcentral